GAACAGUCAUCAGUGCCAGAAAACCACAGACAGUAAACCCAAGACCCGCAAAGACCCUCAGUUUCAGAAGGAAAACCACUGUGAAUGACUCAAACUAUUCAACCUUUUCCCAUCGGAAUGAUGCAAAGUGAGCCCACCCUCCAUGGGAGCUGAAGUCCAUCAUCCACAGCAGCCCUCGACAGUAGGAGCACAUGGAGCCCGGAUCAUACAUAGAAUCAUAGCCCAGUUCCAAGUCACAGCUGAUCCACAGCAUCCCUGGAUCCACCAGGAAGCCAUUUCUUCAGUCUCUGAGGCUGUAACUGGAAUGAACAUUCUUGGUAGUUGACACAACGCCUGCGGUGGUUCCUUGGCCUGUGAGAUGAAACUGAAUGGAAGAUGAGAUUGUAGCCAGCAAACACAGGUGCCCCACAAAGUGUCAUGUCAACGUCACACACUUGGCUUCCUGAGCAGAGUGGACAGG
RNAcentral lists this long non-coding RNA (460 nucleotides) under Equus caballus (horse). Its description in RNAcentral is "lncRNA (ENSECAG00000059177.1)". Lineage: Eukaryota; Metazoa; Chordata; Mammalia; Perissodactyla; Equidae. The record is from RNAcentral.